This 71-nucleotide transfer RNA is filed under the name Phrynosoma hernandesi. Its description in RNAcentral is "tRNA-Trp". It matches the Rfam family "tRNA". From Rfam's summary of the family: Transfer RNA (tRNA) molecules are approximately 80 nucleotides in length. Their secondary structure includes four short double-helical elements and three loops (D, anti-codon, and T loops). The record is from RNAcentral. Lineage: Eukaryota; Metazoa; Chordata; Lepidosauria; Squamata; Phrynosomatidae.
AGAAACUUAGGAUAAUUAUUAAACCAAGGACCUUCAAAGCCCUAAAUAGGGAGUUAAACCCCUAGUUUCUG